Molecule: ribosomal RNA, 373 nt
Filed under: uncultured Bacteroidota bacterium
Lineage: Bacteria; Pseudomonadati; Bacteroidota
Description: bacterial SSU rRNA
Rfam family: Bacterial small subunit ribosomal RNA
Source: RNAcentral
UAAUACGGAGGGUCCAAGCGUUAUCCGGAUUUAUUGGGUUUAAAGGGUCCGUAGGCGGGUUAAUAAGUCAGUGGUGAAAUCCUACAGCUCAACUGUAGAACUGCCAUUGAAACUGUUAACCUUGAAUAUAAUUGAAGUAGGCGGAAUGUGUCAUGUAGCGGUGAAAUGCUUAGAUAUGCCACAGAACACCGAUUGCGAAGGCAGCUUACUAAGUUAUUAUUGACGCUGAGGGACGAAAGCGUGGGUAGCGAACAGGAUUAGAUACCCUGGUAGUCCACGCCGUAAACGAUGUAUACUCGUUGCUAGCGAUACACAGUUAGUGACCAAGCGAAAGUAUUAAGUAUACCACCUGGGGAGUACGAUCGCAAGAUUG